CCUACGGGAGGCAGCAGUGGGGAAUCUUGCGCAAUGGGCGAAAGCCUGACGCAGCAACGCCGCGUGCGGGAAGAAGGCUUUCGGGCUGUAAACCGCUUUCAGCAGGAACGAAAAUGACGGUACCUGCAGAAGAAGGAGCGGCCAACUAUGUGCCAGCAGCCGCGGUGAUACAUAGGCUUCAAGCGUUGUCCGGAUUUAUUGGGCGUAAAGAGUUCGUAGGCGGUCAAGUAAGUCGGGUGUGAAAAUUCUGGGCUCAACCCAGAGACGCCACCCGAUACUGCUUAACUUGAGUUCGAUAGGGGAGUGGGGAAUUCCUAGUGUAGCGGUGAAAUGCGCAGAUAUUAGGAGGAACACCGGUGGCGAAGGCGCCACUCUGGAUCGAUACUGACGCUGAGGAACGAAAGCAUGGGUAGCAAACAGGAUUAGAUACCCUGGUAGUCCAUGCCGUAAACGGUGGGCACUAGGUGUGGGUUUCUAUUAACGAAAUCCGCGCCGUCGCUAACGCAUUAAGUGCCCGCCUGGGGAGUACGGUCGCAAGACUAAAACUCAAAGGAAUUGAACGG
Molecule: ribosomal RNA, 563 nt
Filed under: uncultured bacterium
Lineage: Bacteria
Description: bacterial SSU rRNA
Rfam family: Bacterial small subunit ribosomal RNA
Source: RNAcentral